CCCUUAGAUGUUCUGGGCCGCACGCGUGCUACACUGAGUGGAUCAGCGGGUCAGGUUGCACGAAAGUGUUUCCUAAUCUUGAAAUCCGCUCGUGAUGGGGAUUGACGGUUGCAAUUUUCCGUCAUGAACGAGGAAUACCUUGUAAGCGCGGGUCAUCAUCCCGCGCUGAAUACGUCCCUGCCCUUUGUACACACCGCCCGUCGCUCCUACCGAUUGAGUGGUCCGGUGAGGCUUUGGGAUCUGAGCAAAAAGAGCGUUUCGCUCGUUUGGCUCGGAAAACUCAGUCGAACCUUAUCAUUUAGAGGAAGGAGAAGUCGUAACA
Molecule: ribosomal RNA, 322 nt
Filed under: uncultured eukaryote
Lineage: Eukaryota
Description: partial 18S ribosomal RNA
Rfam family: Eukaryotic small subunit ribosomal RNA
Source: RNAcentral